This 214-nucleotide ribosomal RNA is filed under the name uncultured bacterium. RNAcentral's name for it is "partial 16S ribosomal RNA". It matches the Rfam family "Bacterial small subunit ribosomal RNA", at positions 1286 to 1500 of the family's 1533-position model. The record is from RNAcentral.
UCCCAGUUCAGAUCGCAGUCUGCAACCCGACUGCGUGAAGUCGGAAUCGCUAGUAAUCGCGGAUCAGCAUGCCGCGGUGAAUACGUUCCCGGGCCUUGUACACACCGCCCGUCACACCAUGAGAGUCGGGAACACCCGAAGUCCGUAGCCUAACCGCAAGGGGGCGCGGCCGAAGGUGGGUUCGAUAAUUGGGGUGAAGUCGUAACAAGGUAUC